UUGCUUUCUCCGCGCUCUUGUUAGUUUCCAUUCAUAUUGUAUCAGUGUCCAAUCCUGGAUGGCAGGUCUGGUCUUUGCAUCCAUUGUUGGCAAGGCCUUGCCCUGCAGGCAGUGACCUUUAGCAGAGCUGGGCUGGAGGUUGUCAUCCAGACAAAUGGGGGCUGACCUGGAAUGUCUUUUUAACUCAGUGUCUCACAACGUGAGCCUCUGAAAGCCACUGCGAGAGCAGCCCAGCCAAAUGAGCUGGGUCCCUCUCACUCUGCAGACAAGAGGGCCAACAGGGCCUUGGGAUCUCCCUUUGCUUCUCCCAUGUUCUCCCUGAUGUUCUUCUGGAAGCCACAAACACACAGAGGUCUGGAUGCAGAGGGUGGCAGCUUCAUCUUCUUUUGUUCACUUUUGCUGCCUAAAGAUCUCUAGAGACCGUUUUCAAGCUACCUCACUCCCUCUCAGAGAAUCUACUCUCAGAUCUUCAUUCACACUGAGGUGUUGAUGACUGGUUACUAUCCAACACAGCUAUUCUCAUUAAAGUGUGAGGUGCCAUUUCUGAUUGCAGGAAGGAAAGUGGAGCUGGGACCGUUCCUGGGAGCCACCGACCAGACGUGCUGCUUCUACCGGUUGGGUAGAAUAUAGCCAACCCUUCCUUCCCCAGCCUGCUCACCCUGCUCCUCCCCUGCCAUCAAAGAGGAGGAUAAUUGAGGUCUCGCUGGCUUGCAGGAGGCCUCAAGCAUUCACCUCAGGGUCCCUUCCAGGGGAUUCAGUGACUUGGGAUUUCAGUUCCUACUCCCCAAGCAGUUUUCUCAGCACAAAAGGUUUUCAGUUCUUUUAAAUUCAUCUAAGGACACAGACUAUGCAGAGCAGUCAGGAUAUAAGCCAUGUGAGCAACAAAUAACAAAGCACUAAUUGCAUCUAGUGGGCAUAGAGUUUCAGUGACUUCAUGUUGGCUAAAUAUAGGCGAACACUUGGUGUGUUGUGCAUGCCAGGGGGAACCAUGAUGCAAUUAUCCCCUCCCUUUGAUGGAGGGGGAGAACCCGGGUCAGAAGGCAAGAAUGAGAUUGCCUAAUAAAUGGUCACUUGUGAUGGUCCCCAACUCCACUUGCAUCCAAGGUUUGUGUACACACACACACACACACACACAAUAAAACAAAGCAAACACGACUAUACGGCUUUAAAACAACAUAAAUACUCAGCUUCUGACCAGGGUUAAAAAUAAUUGCUUUACUUAAAAAUGUAAUGAUUUCACUUUUCUUUUUAAUCUUUAUUAUAUAAGAAAUUCACAUCCACCUUAGGAAAUUUAGAAAAAAGAAUGACGACGAAUUCUUAUCAAGCACUUAACAGGUGCCAGGCACUCCCUGCCGUAGAAGCUUUCCAUCAUCAACUCAUUUAAUCCUAACAAUAACUCUCUGAGCUAGGGACAAUCAUCAUUCCUGUUUAACAACUAAAAAAGAACAAGGGAUGAGUUCUGUAACUUGUUCAAGGUCACCUACUUAGAAAAGUGAAGACUGGGAGUUGAACUCAAGUGGGCCUGAUGGUGAAUUUCAUGCUCUUGAACUCUAGACCAGUGCUGCUCAAUGGACACAUACUGUAAGCCAUGUAUAUAAUGUAGAAUUUUCCAGCAGCGACAUUAAAAGAAGUAAAAAGAAACAAGUGAGAUUGCUUUUGAUAAUGUUUUAUUUAGCCCACCGUAUAGAAGAUAGAAUCAUUUCAACAUUCAAUCAGGAUAAGGAGUAAACUAAAUGAGAUAUUUCACAUUCUUCUUUUCAUACUAAGCCUUAAAAACUCAGUAUGUAUUUUACACUUACUUCUCAGUUAGGACUAGACAAAUUGCAAGUGCUCACUUAGAUACGUAUCCAGUGGCUACUGUACCGGGCAGGGCAGAUACAGAACAUUUCCAUCAUGGCAGACAGUUCCAUAGGACAGUGCUACUCUAGAUCAUAUUGACCAGUCAGAAAAGAAAAAAGUCCCAUAAACUCCCCGUCUAUUUCAACGUAUCAUAUCCUUCCUGCAUUCUUUGUAUGCAUUUACGUGUAUAAAUACAUUGUCUAACAGAUGAGGGUCAUACUAGGAAUAUUGUUUUAAUCAAUUUAUUUCUUUAAUGAUAAUGUGCAACCUGCCAGUGGUUUUGUCUCCCUGUAUAUAUGUGAGGCAGUGCUGGUGUGCUGAAAGUAACCUGGGACUUGGGAGUCAGAGGACUCAUCAUUUUCCAUCUGUGUGAUAUUGGACAAGCUAUUCUCUGACCCUCAGUUAUCUCAUGUGAUGAUUAAAUAGGAUAAUGUAUGUGAAAUGUGUUUUAUAAAUGAAGGCUCUCGGGCGGCUGGGUGGCUCAGUCGUUAAGCGACGGCCUUCGGCUCAGGUCAUGGUCCCGGGGUCCUGGGAUCGAGCCCCGCAUCGGGCUCCCUGCUCAGCGGGGAGCCUGCUUCUCCCUCUCCCUCUGCUGUUCCCCCUGCUUGUGUUCCCUCUCUCUCUCUGUGUCAAACAAAUAAAUAAAAUCUUAAAAAAAAAACAAAAAACAAGAACAGGCUUUGGGGUCAGAUAUUUGUAGGUUUGAAUUCUGGCUCUGAUGCUUUCUGGUUUGAAUGAGUGCUCUGGACCUGCUUUCUCAUCUCUGAAAUAGAACUGAUGCAUACUUCAUAGGGUUGUGGAGAGAAUAAACCAUAAGCAGAAUAAUACGUGUGAUAUGCUUAGCACAGUGCCAUGCAUGCAGAGUAAGCCC
Molecule: long non-coding RNA, 2710 nt
Organism: Mirounga angustirostris (Northern elephant seal)
Lineage: Eukaryota; Metazoa; Chordata; Mammalia; Carnivora; Phocidae
Exons: 3
Source: RefSeq, a predicted model, not a curated record